AUGCAGUUCACUUCGUCGAUUUGUGGACCCGCAAAAAACAGUGUCCGCGUUUCGGCACGUCGUCUAGAUGAGUCUGUUUAUGCUCCUGUGCUUAAGAGGAUGCCAAAUGGCAACACUGUUGAAGGUGGAAGCCGUGCUGAUUCUGAUACAAAUACUGAUGGUCUCGCCGAUCAGUUUGCUAUCAUAGACACCGAUCAUAAUAACAAGCAUCGUCCCGUAUCAGCUGAGCAUGGCAAUGCGACAACAACCCCUAACACGGCAAGCUCGGCCAUUGUGCCUGUACAUGUUGUGUUAGAUACGUCAGGUCAAUCAGCAGUUGCAGCGCCCGGUUCCUCGACAGAACGCACAAUAUUUCCAGCAAGUGGCGAGCAAUUGCAGUCUGCUGGGCCUUCUUCUAAACCGUAUACUGCACAAAUUACGGAUGGGAUGCAGGUUACUCCAAACACCACCAUUGGAAGGAACGGGGGUUCGCCGUCGACGAUGAAGAAGGACGAUCGGAGUGCCAAUAAGUUUAACGUGGAGCCUCCCAGCAAUGGGCAAGUGAAGCGAGCCGGAGAAGUCACAUUGAAGAUGGACAUGAGUUUGCUUAAUUGCCGCGUCUGCUCCCGCCCCAUCAAGCCCCCUGUCUUCCAGUGCAAUGCCGGGCAUGUAGCUUGCGGCAGAUGCCUCGUCGAGCUCCCCGGCGAACAAUGCCAGACGUGCGAGCACGGCGGUGGCUUUAGCCGCUGCCCCACGAUAGAUGCUGUCGUCUCAUCCUUGACGGUCAUGUGCGGCCACGAUGGCUGCGGGAGCGACGUCCCCUACAACGAGCUCGACGACCACCAGAGCGCGUGCCAGUACGCGCCCUGCUUCUGCAUGGAGCCUGGCUGUGGCUUCUUCGGUGCACCGCUGGCGCUCCUCAGCCACAUGGGUGCCCUGCAUGCAAUGCCAGUGCACAAGGUCCACUACGGCAAAGUUCACCGGUUCCGGGUGUUGGAGCCGGGGUGCCUGCUCCAUGGGCAAGGGGACGACAGCGUGUUCCUCCUGGCCGUUGGCGCCAUCGGCAUGGCCACAGUCGUGUCUGUGGUGUGCAUCAGAGCUGGAGUGUCAUCAUGGCCGCAGUACGCGGUGAAGCUUCGGGCAAAUUGUCCGCCACCACCGAGCAGCAUAGAAGGCAGCAUUCUGUUGGACAUGAAGCCGGUGACGAGCAGCACUAGGCCCGGCGAGGUCGCUCUGAUGGAGCUGCCGUCUUUCUUGGGGGUGCCGCCUACGUAUCUGGUUGGUUCUGGGGCGUCCAAGGAGGUGUCUCUCGACGUUCACAUUGACAGGAUGUGA
This 1314-nucleotide ribosomal RNA is filed under the name Triticum aestivum (bread wheat). RNAcentral's name for it is "partial small subunit ribosomal RNA". Lineage: Eukaryota; Viridiplantae; Streptophyta; Magnoliopsida; Poales; Poaceae. The record is from RNAcentral.